Long non-coding RNA from Cicer arietinum (chickpea), 250 nucleotides. RefSeq lists it as uncharacterized. NCBI's taxonomy places the organism in Eukaryota, Viridiplantae, Streptophyta, Magnoliopsida, Fabales, Fabaceae. The record is from RefSeq and is a predicted model, not a curated record.
CUUCAUUAUAUAUAACCUUCCUUCCAAUUAUAUUUUUUCCAAAACCUAAUUAACAUUCCAAUUUUGCACUCAUCUCUCUCAAAUCGCUGCUGCUUUCUUUCUCUACACCCCCGACCUCACAAAUGGAUAAGAAUAAUGGAAGUGGAAGCCAACAGAAACCAAAUCAAAUUCAGGCAAGUUUAUCGUGCUUUAUUAUUAAGUUUUACAAUAUUUGAAUUAUUUAUAUAACUCACAGACAUGAAGUCUUGAC